UACAGGGGGCUCGAGCGUUAGUCGGAAUCACUGGGCUUAAAGGGUGCGUAGGUGGCUCGCCAAGUGUUUUGUGAAAUCCCACAGCUCAACUGUGGAACAGCAGGGCAAACUGGCGAGCUUGAGGCAGGUAGGGGCCGGAAGAACAGUUGGUGGAGCGGUGAAAUGCGUAGAGAUCCCCAAGAACACCAGUUGCGAAGGCGGCUGACUGGACACAUAUUGACGCUGAGGCUCGAAAGCAUGGGGAGCAAACAGG
RNAcentral lists this ribosomal RNA (253 nucleotides) under uncultured bacterium. Its description in RNAcentral is "partial 16S ribosomal RNA". It matches the Rfam family "Bacterial small subunit ribosomal RNA", at positions 524 to 776 of the family's 1533-position model. The record is from RNAcentral.